Molecule: ribosomal RNA, 492 nt
Filed under: Triticum aestivum (bread wheat)
Lineage: Eukaryota; Viridiplantae; Streptophyta; Magnoliopsida; Poales; Poaceae
Description: partial small subunit ribosomal RNA
Source: RNAcentral
AUGGGUGAGUUAGGUGGAAUACCUCAAUCGUUGUCGGAAGAGAAGGCGUAUAUGAUAAGGGGGUAUCUAGUUGAAUGUGGCGAUAGACUGUUGAUGGUGAAACGGUGGAUUCAUCCUAUUGCCCGUUCAACAAGUGAUGACUUUUUCGAGCAUAACCGUACUGUUGCACUUGGGGUUUUUGAGGCAGAUUUGGGCACCGAUCCUGCUGGAUGGAGAACAGUAAAUGAUUUGGAUGGCCAUGCGCUCUUUCUUGGCCAGCAUAGCUCCAAGUCCCUGCGCGCUGGAGAAUGCAGUGGAUACCAAGAGGACUGCAUCUACUUCAUGUGUGACUAUUCCUGGCCAAAGCAUUCUGCAAAUCCUCUUCGUGAUGCCGGUGUUUACAACAUCAGGAAUCAGACAUUCAUGCCACUGAUGUCGGGGACUGCAGCGGUACCGCCACAUCAUGCUGGCCAGUGGCGUCCGACAUGGUUUUUCCCUCCUGAAGCUGUGUGA